Molecule: long non-coding RNA, 1453 nt
Organism: Chinchilla lanigera (long-tailed chinchilla)
Lineage: Eukaryota; Metazoa; Chordata; Mammalia; Rodentia; Chinchillidae
Exons: 3
Source: RefSeq, a predicted model, not a curated record
GGAAGCCAUCCGGACUGGUAACCCUCCUGCUGUGACCCUCCUGCUCCCAGGACACCUUCCAGCAGGCGGGACUUCCGCACCCAGCACAUUCCCACGCCCUGGGACCUCAGGUGCUGAUGAAAUUGACACGGUGUGUGGAGCAGGUGGCCCGUGCCAGGUUUGGAGCAGAGAAAGACUGUACCAGGUGCUGGAUCUUAAGGGGUCCCCUCUCAGGCCUGGCAUGGCCUCCAGCAGAUGCUCAGGCCAGGAUGCUAAGUACCCCCGCCCCAUGCAGUCCAACUCGUCCGCUCCUGCGAAGUUUGGACAUUCAUUCAGGUCUCUCCGUUUGCCCUUGCCCGUCCUGGUGCAGGCCUCUGUCUCUGCUGCCUGGAUGCCAGGGUUGAUGGCUGCCUGACUGCUCUUCCUGUUGUGCAUUCCCAAGUGCCGAGCCCACCCAGCAGGCGAGAGCAAGCAUCCUCAAAGGACCCCACGGGCACACUGCCCUGCAGAAAGUCCCGCCUCCGGGGCUUCCUUGAUCUGGAAGCCAGGACUCCAAGCCACGCUGGUUGGACUCUACCUCCCCUGCAAAUCCCCUCCCCCGGCUGUCCAGUCCCUGUCCUUGAGAUGCCCUUCCCUGCCCUUGGUUGUCUGCAGGGCUGGCUGCUCAGUUCCCUGCUCAUCCGGGUUAAGUGGGUCUCCCUGAUGGUCCUGACCUCCGCCCCGUCAGAGCACUCGUCCCACUUGGCAGUUAUUUUGUCUGCUUCACUUGCUGCCCGUCUGCCCCUCCGGAGACAAGGUUCUCCAGCUGUUCCUAGAGCCCAGCCCAGGGCCCGCAUCUGUGGCAAAGCCACCCUGCAGUGGCUCGCAGCACCCUCCCCUCUCCCGCUUGCGUGGGAUAACCUGUGCGUUAUCUCAUCAUCUAUCGACCUCUAAUAAGCAGGGCUAUUUUUAGAAAAGGUGAAAGCAACACUCUAACCUCUCAGAGGAUUUUCCACUCCCACCUGCCUUUCUACUACAACUUGGUUUCCUGUGGUGGUUGCGGAGGCUGCCACACUGGCCAGCUUUGUUAUUCUGGGGUACAGAGGGGGCUUCAAAAGAAACCCAGGCCCCGCUUCUUCCUCCUACAAACAAGAUACUUAGCAGCAGCUCCUGGCAGACAGAGGGAAGUAUGGGAUGAAACCUUAGGCUCCUCACUUGCUGUGUUACCCUAGGCGGGUCACUUUCCAUCUCUGUGCUUCCGUUACCCAUCUGUAAGAGGAGGCCCUUGGCAGGUGUGUUGGUUUGGGGCUUAUUUUGCAAGGGGAACAAUAUAAUACACGACACAUACUCUAUAUGAUUAUUUAUAAGUCACCCAAAGAACAAGAUACAAAAGAGUGCAGGGCAUCUGACCACACACUAAGACCAGGGAAUCCAGCUGAGGGCCUGGAUCCCACAAUAAUGUCCUACAUGAGUUGAGCUGAAUACCCAGAGCUCA